GGAAGAGUAAGCGGAAAGGUCUGUUGUAACAUAUAAUAGUUAACAAGUUAGUUACCUGAAGUAACAAACUUGACAGCGGGUUUCAUCAAGAAGCCGCUUUUCUCUCUUGUUCUGAGUUUCCAAACACUGCCGCAGAACUUCUCUGCGACAUUUUUGCUAGUGAUUGUAGAAAAUUACUCGCUUUCAGUGGCGCUAAUAAAGCAUGCAUAGCGGCCUUCUUAGCAUACGAGGGUCUUUGUUGCUUUUCUUCUGCCUCAUUAGUUUGGCGACUCUAUUUAGGUCCAAACCAGAAGCAGUCCCUCCAGCUUGUUCUCCCUCUUGAGAAGGUUCACAUAGCCAGGAAAUGGGUAGUUGCCGAAGGAUCAACCCUAUCAUGUUUGUCAUUCUUCCAGGCAACACUAAUAAACAAAGCCAUAGUUUCUCAGUAAAAUCCCCUUGCCAGACAUUUUAUUAGGUGCAGGAGAUCACAUUGUCGAAUAGACCACCCCUGGGGAUGGGUUAAAACUGAAAAUUCUAUCCUACCAAAUUUACACCAAAGAUGGAGGCAGAGUGAAAACAACACAAUUGCUCUGAGCAGAAAAGUGCUUGUGGUCCUCUGUGGGCCUCCAAGAACACGUGUACACACUACAAACCCCUCAAUAUCCUAAUUGAAGCACGGUAAACUGAUCCUCACUCUAUUCUCCAUCUGUUUGGACUAAAUUGGCUCACAGCAAGUCAUAAUCUUGCAGAACUUGUACAUAGAAAUCAGGUCGUGGAAUCAAACACCAGCUUUUAAGGUCCUCUUCAUAUACAAUGAAACUGUUUGGUUCUGGAUUAUCAUUAGCCCAAACAGUGCUCUCGAGAAAACCCAAAGUGUAUUCCUCUUGUAUACUGUAUUUCUGCGUAAUCUCCACCAAAUAUGUAACAGUGAGAGAAGUAGCUAAUUCACCAAUCAUAUGGUUAGCACAGUUAAGCUCCCCGUUUUAGCUUUUAAUCAAAACAGAAAAUAAUUUUUAAAAGAAAAGGUCAAAUUGACCUACCUGAGGAUAAUAAACCCAAGCACAUUCUUUAAGUGGCAGAGGAUGUAAGCAAGUUUCCGAUUUUUCAAUCUCUAUGUGUAGUCAACCUUUGGACUGUAGCCUUCCCUCUUCAUUUCCUCAUUCAGCAAUUCAUAUAUUUCUAUUGAAUGAUGAUGUAAAUCAUCACCUGCAUGAAAUUCAUGAACUUGUGCUCCAAUUUCAAUCCAGCUACAACCAGGGGUCUUAAUGACGCCCUGUCGUCUCAUCAACACCCUCAUUUUCGCUGAGUCAUCCCACCUUCUCAAAUUUGCAUAUAUCUUAGAUGAGAUAAUAUAGUUUCCAGAAUUUGAUGGCUCGAUAUCUAAAAGCAGUUUAAUAACCCGUUCACCAACAUCUACGUUUCUACGCUUCUGACAGGCGCCAAGCAAUGCCCCAAGUACAAUUUCGUCUGGUUUUCUAGGCAUCCUCUCAAUGAAGUUCCAAGCUUCAUACAGAUGCCCUGCACGUGCCAAAAGAUCAACCAUACAAGAAUAAUGCUCAAUUUUCGGGACCAAUCCAAAUGAUGAGCUCAUUGAAUCAAACAAUCGAUGGCCCUCAUGAACCAAUCCAGCAUGGACACAAGCAGAAAGUACUCCUAUAAAUGUGAUGUCAUUUGGCCGGACAGUGCCAACCUUUAGCAUACGUCUGAAUAAAGAUAAUGCUUCCUGAGCUCUCCCAUGAAAAGCAAGAGCAGAAAUCAUGGCAUUCCAAGAGACCUCAUUUCUGUGAGGCAUACUUUCAAAAAUUCUCAGUGCACUGUCCAAGCUCCCACACUUUGCAAACAAAUCAAUUAAUGCACUGGCAACAUAGACAUCAUAUUGUAAGCCUCUCUGUGAUGCAUAUGUCUCGAUCCAUUUUCCCAAAUCAAGGGCUCCAAUCAAAGCACAUGCAGAGAGCACAACAAUCAUUGUGAUUUUAUCUGGAUUUGUACCCACCUCUCUCAUGCGAUUGAAAAGUGUAAUUGCUUCAUCUGAUGCUCCAUUCUGGGAAUAUCCUGUGAUCAUGGCAUUCCAAGUGACAACAUCUUUCUUUUCCAUGGCAUCAAAGACCCUCCUUGCUGAGAUCAAAUCCCCGCACUUCCCAUACAUGUCAAUCAAAGCAGACCCUAAAUAUGAGUUUAACUCUAUCUUCUUCGAAGCAACAAGCUCCUCCACCCACUUCCCCAAACCCAAAUCCCCUAAGUCCCCACAUGCCCCCAGAACACUCAC
Molecule: unclassified non-coding RNA, 2245 nt
Filed under: Hevea brasiliensis (rubber tree)
Lineage: Eukaryota; Viridiplantae; Streptophyta; Magnoliopsida; Malpighiales; Euphorbiaceae
Source: RNAcentral